GACGAACGCUGGCGGCGUGCUUAACACAUGCAAGUCGAACGGUAAGGCCCCUUCGGGGGUACACGAGUGGCGAACGGGUGAGUAACACGUGAGCAACCUGCCCUUGACUCUGGAAUAACAGUUGGAAACAGCUGCUAAUACUGGAUAUUCAUCGUCUCCUUCCUGUGGGGUGGUGGAAAGCUCCGGCGGUCAGGGGUGGGCUCGCGGCCUAUCAGCUUGUUGGUGAGGUAAUGGCUCACCAAGGCUUCGACGGGUAGCCGGCCUGAGAGGGCGACCGGCCACACUGGGACUGAGAUACGGCCCAGACUCCUACGGGAGGCAGAAGUGGGGAAUAUUGCACAAUGGGCGCAAGCCUGAUGCAGCAACGCCGCGUGCGGGAUGACGGCCUUCGGGUUGUAAACCGCUUUCAGUAGGGACGAAGGGUGACUGACGGUACCUACAGAAGAAGGACCGGCUAACUACGUG
RNAcentral lists this ribosomal RNA (465 nucleotides) under uncultured bacterium. RNAcentral's name for it is "partial 16S ribosomal RNA". It matches the Rfam family "Bacterial small subunit ribosomal RNA", at positions 28 to 507 of the family's 1533-position model. The record is from RNAcentral.